RNAcentral lists this ribosomal RNA (497 nucleotides) under uncultured bacterium. RNAcentral's name for it is "partial 16S ribosomal RNA". It matches the Rfam family "Bacterial small subunit ribosomal RNA", at positions 28 to 507 of the family's 1533-position model. The record is from RNAcentral.
GAUGAACGCUGGCGGCGUGGCUAAUACAUGCAAGUCGAGCGAACGGACGAGAAGCUUGCUUCUCUGAUGUUAGCGGCGGACGGGUGAGUAACACGUGGAUAACCUACCUAUAAGACUGGGAUAACUUCGGGAAACCGGAGCUAAUACCGGAUGAUAUUUUGAACCGCAUGGUUCAAAAGUGAAAGACGGUCUUGCUGUCACUUAUAGAUGGAUCCGCGCUGCAUUAGCUAGUUGGUAAGGUAACGGCUUACCAAGGCAACGAUGCAUAGCCGACCUGAGAGGGUGAUCGGCCACACUGGAACUGAGACACGGUCCAGACUCCUACGGGAGGCAGCAGUAGGGAAUCUUCCGCAAUGGGCGAAAGCCUGACGGAGCAACGCCGCGUGAGUGAUGAAGGUCUUCGGAUCGUAAAACUCUGUUAUUAGGGAAGAACAUAUGUGUAAGUAACUGUGCACAUCUUGACGGUACCUAAUCAGAAAGCCACGGCUAACUACGUG